This 497-nucleotide ribosomal RNA is filed under the name uncultured bacterium. RNAcentral's name for it is "partial 16S ribosomal RNA". It matches the Rfam family "Bacterial small subunit ribosomal RNA", at positions 28 to 507 of the family's 1533-position model. The record is from RNAcentral.
GAUGAACGCUGGCGGCGUGCCUAAUACAUGCAAGUCGAGCGAACAGACGAGGAGCUUGCUCCUCUGACGUUAGCGGCGGACGGGUGAGUAACACGUGGAUAACCUACCUAUAAGACUGGGAUAACUUCGGGAAACCGGAGCUAAUACCGGAUAAUAUAUUGAACCGCAUGGUUCAAUAGUGAAAGACGGUUUUGCUGUCACUUAUAGCUGGAUCCGCGCCGCAUUAGCUAGUUGGUAAGGUAACGGCUUACCAAGGCAACGAUGCGUAGCCGACCUGAGAGGGGGAUCGGCCACACUGGAACUGAGACACGGUCCAGACUCCUACGGGAGGCAGCAGUAGGGAAUCUUCCGCAAUGGGCGAAAGCCUGACGGAGCAACGCCGCGUGAGUGAUGAAGGUCUUCGGAUCGUAAAACUCUGUUAUUAGGGAAGAACAAAUGUGUAAGGAACUAUGCACGUCUUGACGGUACCUAAUCAGAAAGCAACGGCUAACUACGUG